AGUAAUUGUUAUCGUUUGUGCAGAAUAUUUUGGAGGGAAUUGUAUUACUGUACAAGUUUAUGGCUCAGUUAAAUUCCAGAUUUAUCCCUGUCUGUUCUAUGAGAUUUGAUGUGUGUGUGUGUCUGUAUGUAUUAUUAUGUCUGUGCGUUAUCAUGUUCUUCUUGUGUGUAUUUACAGGUCUGCCAAUUUGGGUCAGAACCCACUUAUGAAUCUGAUCUGGUGUGUUCAGGUGUCCUGAGACAGGGGGCGCUGUUUCUAAAAUGAGUUCCUCAGAGGAGACCGAGACUGACGAUGGAACCCACGGCCUUGCGAGAAAGAGGGUUUGGGUAGAGAGGGCUGGGUCACCUGUACCCAACUGUCUGUCUAUGAAGAGUGACCGUUCAAUGAAUCGUCUAAUCAACUUUAGAGGAAUGGUCACAGGUGAUCAGAGGGUUUGGGUAGAGAGAGCUGGGUCACCUGUACCCAGCUGUCUGUCUAUGAAGAGUGACCGUUCAAUGAAUCGUCUAAUCAACUUAAGAGGAGAGGUCACAGGUGAUCAAAGGGUUUGGGUAGAGAGGGCUGGGUCACCUGUACCCAGCUGUCUGUCUAUGAAGAGUGACCGUUCAAUGAAUCGUCUAAUCAACUUAAGAGGAGAGGUCACAGGUGAUCAAAGGGUUCGGGUAGAGAGGGCUGGGUCACCUGUACCCAGCUGUCUGUCUAUGAUGAGUGACCGUUCAAGGAAUCCUCUAAUCAACUUAAGAGGAAAGAUCACAGGUGAUCAAAGGGUUUGGGUAGAGAGGGCUGGGUCACCUGUACCCAGCUGUCUGUCUAUGAAGAGUGACCGUUCAAUGAAUCGUCUAAUCAACUUAAGAGGAGAGGUCACAGGUGAUCAAAGGAUUCAUUGCUCAGAUAAACUGUUCUCCUCAAAACAGUCUCUCCUGCGCACUCUGAUGAAGCUGAAGAAGACUGAAAAGUUGAAACUGUUUCAGAGCCAUCUGAGUCAGGGUUGCCCAGAAUGCUUUUAUAGUAGAAGAACAGAAGAUCCUUCUGUACUGGAUCCCUUUAUGAAGAUGAAGGAAUUGUUCAAGAGUCAUCAAAUUGCUGAUUACCCAGAAUGCACUGAGAGAGAGCAGGAGGAUCCUGAAGCCCUGUACAUAGUUGAGAAGAUGCUGGAGACUUGUGGCAUUGAGGGGUCUCCGAA
Anguilla rostrata (American eel) is the source of this 1180-nucleotide long non-coding RNA. RefSeq lists it as uncharacterized. The record is from RefSeq and is a predicted model, not a curated record. NCBI's taxonomy places the organism in Eukaryota, Metazoa, Chordata, Actinopteri, Anguilliformes, Anguillidae. The transcript is spliced from 8 exons.